CCCCGGGCUCUGCUGGGAAGUGGCGGGGCGGGGUGGAGGGGCCAGAAUCAGGACCCGGCUUCUCUCCACCUACUCUACCUCGUGGUGCAGGAGAGCCGGCAGGCUCCUGUGAUGCUGUGUGGCACGGGGGCAGUGGCUUCCCGUCUCUGGAUCUCGUGUCCUUGCCGUUUCUGAGGCUGUCAUUUCCUGCUCUGGGGCUGUGACCUGGUCUUGUUUCCCAGGGCCACCGCCACCACUCGAGGAACUCUACCUGUUCUGGGGUCUGGAGUCAGCAGGUGACCCAGAGAAGUCAGGCUGGGGAAGGCGCCCAGGUGGCCCCUGGCUCCUGCCACUGUCGCCCCUGGGGGAGGGGGCACCUGCCACCACGUCCUGCUGUCUAGCUGUGGGUUCUGUGGUGCAGGACAGAACCCCGGGCCUCCACAGGCUGCACAAGUGCUCUACCCCUGAGCCACCCCCCAGCCCCAUAUGUAGUUUUAAAACAGGUCAAUUUAGUUUUUAUUUACACAUGUCUAGGUUUUUGCCGCCCUGGGGGAUAGAACCCAGGGCCACUCUACCACAGAGCCACAUUCCAGCCCCUUUUUAUUUAUUUUUUUAACUUUGAAACGGAAUCUUGCUGAGUUGCCGAGGCCGACCUUGAACUUGCGAUCCUCCUGCCUGGGCCUCCCGAGUUGCUGGGAUUCCAGGUGUGCGCCACGGCAUGGGGCUAAGGUUGAGUUUUUAGGUGAUGCAGAGCCAUAAAGGAAAGCCGGUUAAGAAAACUGGGUGUGGUGGCACCCGCGCUUGAAAUGCCAGCGACUGGGGAGGCUGACGAGGAGGACUGCAAGUUCGAAGCCCAUCUGGGCCAUGGAGGGAGACGAUCAGGCAACGAGAAAGAGCGGGGCUGGGGCUGGGGCUCAGAGGCAGAGUCCCCCGGGCGGGUUCAGUCCCCAAGUCGGGCCACGCUGCAGACUGAAAAGGGCCUGGGGUUGAGACUUCCUCGGAGACCCCCGGGGGCUCUGGGGGGACCUGACCCCUCCCAGGUCCGCCUACCCCUCGGAGCCCUGAGUCGGCAGGCAGCGGGGGCACCAGGGCCGGCCGCCGUCCCCAGGAGGCACAGAUGGCAUUUUUUUUAAUCAGUGUCAGCGUUGGCUUCUUUCUGCUCUGAUGAAUAGAUUCUAAAGAGGCAGUGACAUUAUUGGAGACAACAGAGGGAGCGGAAAGAGGGUCAGCCACCAGGGAGGGACGGAGAUAAAGGGGAGGCCCGAGGGGGCGGCACCCUGGCGGGGUCCCUGUCCCGGAAGGUGGCCCCUCCCCAGCCUGGCUCCCUGCAGUGGGGCUGCCCUGGGCCCGGCUGGGCGGGGGAGGCCGACAGCUGUGCCAGGCCUGCGUCCCCUGUCCCUCCCCGCUGCCCACUGCCCAUUCCGCCCUUUCAAUUCGAUUCAAUUAGGGCUGCCGGUCGGAAGCUUGUCUCCUGCGAUAUCCAGCCUAACUGACAGGGGAUGAGUGCUGUUUGUGGGACACACACUCUCGCUGCUCGCUGCCGGCACAGCCCAGGGACCUGGGUUAUUUAUGGAGCCGGCCACAGGACUGUCCCUCUGGGAACUGCUUCCUUUGGAGGGUGGGCUGGGGACCCUGUUUCUACUGCUCCCCUUCUGGAUCCUGGGGCCUGAGGGCCGGGGGAGGGGAACCAGAACAAGAGCACGAGUAGAACUGAGUUCAAAUUCCAACUCUCCCCCUGGGCAGCUGUGUGUCGUCGGGCAAGAAACAACACCUCUCUGAGCCUGUUUCUUCAUCUAGAAAAUGAAGGCAACUCAUCGGGCAUCGUGGGGACCCAGUGGGGUGGCGGGUGGAGGGCAUUUAGCUCUGCCUUCGGGAAGGCUACAUGGCAGUGCAGGAGCUACAAAAUAAGUAGGGGGUCACUCCCAUGGCGGGGGCUGGGGAGUGAUGACCUGAAGUCCCCAGGCCUAAGAACUGUCCUCAUUUGGGGGCAUGUGCUCAUCUGCACCCCUUUCUCGCACCAUUUACCAGAUCUUUGUUGGGGGUGGUGUGGCCCUGGGGAAGAGUAGGUGUGGACAUUCAUCAAAUCCAGUGCAUUCAAAAAUGGCCACUUUGGGGGCUGGGACUGUGGCUCAGCGGUAGAGUGCUCUCCUAGCACGGCAGGACCCGGGUUCGAUCCUCAGCACCACAUAAAAAUAAAGGCAUUGUGUUGUGUCCAUCUACACCUAAAAAAUAAAUAUUUUAAAAAAUGGCCACUACUUACUGCCUGUGUCCUCCGGGCCCCACUGGACACGCAUGACCUCAUGGGGUUCUCACAACAGUUGCCACUGGUAUUGUCUCCAUCCUCCAGAAGAGAAAACCGAGGCUCAGACAGGGGCUGGGCCUUGCCCAUGAGGUCAAACACCUGCUAAUCCGUCAGACACUGCUGUGGGGCAGACACUCUCACGUACUUUGUCCCCUGACAGCCCGAGACAUGGGUAUUCUGUCCCUCAUUUUGCAGAAGAGAAAAUCAAGGCCCCGAGAGGGGAAUGGCACAGUCUGUUAGAGGAGAGCUGGAUGGAAACACAGGGAGGUUUGCCUAAGUUCACGUCCAGUUUGUCAUCUCCAUCUCCUGGUUUCUACCUCAGGAUUGUUCCAGAUUUGUAUUAAAUUGUAGGUAGACAGUGAAAGGUCAUACCGACCAUCCAGGAGUGAUUGAGUCCCUCAAGAGUCUCUGAAGUAUGACACAGCCCCUACUGGUAAGAGAGAUGCCAUCUCCUCAAGAGGAGAAAAAAAUAAAUAUGUAAAGAGUUACAAGAAUUCAAUGACAAGUAGGGUUCCUCACGGGCUGCAUAGACAACCCACAGUUCUGAGCAGUUGAGCAGAAGCCGGCCUUGAAAGACACAUGUAUUCUGGAGAGAGAAGUGCACAUAAUCAUCAUCACAAUGACAAUACGUCAAUCGUUGUUACAGUGACAAUAAUCCCUCAAAUUCAAUCCCGUGUUGUAGGUCUUGCUCUUCCCACUUCAUAGAUGAAGACGAUGAGGCUCAGAGAGAUGAAGUGACGUGUCUGAGGCCAGUCAUCUGGGGCGCAGUUCCUCUAAUCCAAAGCAGGUUUCUGUCCUCUGGCCCUGGACGAUCUCUCAGAGUGUCCUGAGCAGCAGGUGGUCUGGCCUGAGUCGAAAUUUGUUCCUGGGGAGGCUUCUCGUCCAAGGCCUGAGACUCUCGGGGUCCCCGGGGGGUGAAGGAGACCCAUCUCUGCCCUCCAGGGUCUGCAGAUGGGAGCCGGCUGAGCAAACUGGUGGUCACGAAGAGGGGCAGCAGGUUGUUCACGGGAACCCAGGAGGAAGGGGGGUGAGGGUCCCAGCCUGGAGUGGGAUCGAGGAGGGCUUCCUGGAGGGGGGGCAGCGGGCCAGGGCUGAGGGAGGGUGGCCCAGGGGCAGAGGAACUGGAAGCCACCAAUGGCUCCCGGCCCAGAUGGAGCCUGUCGUGGGAGGUGGCCUGGAACUGCCCGGAGCCGAG
RNAcentral lists this long non-coding RNA (3476 nucleotides) under Marmota monax (woodchuck). Lineage: Eukaryota; Metazoa; Chordata; Mammalia; Rodentia; Sciuridae. The record is from RNAcentral.